GACAGCCGAAUGUCAAUCCAAUUGACAUUUCGUCCUGUAAAAUUAAAAAAAACAUUAUAAAUAAUAAUCACAAAAUCCAAAAAAGUAGUUGUUUUAUUUUGCAAUUUUAAAAAAACGAAAAAAUUUCUGGUAAAUAAGUUCUCCAAUAUACCCUGAUCAUCUAUCAAUCUGUUAUAUAAGAAAAUGUUUAAACGUUUACCAACUAUUGCGCAUCGAAAAUGAAAAAUGGAUCUAAUCUGUGUAGCUAUUAGAAGAAAUAUUUUACCCAUCUCUGCAAGAAUUUUCGGCUUUAGAAGGACCUACGCAAGACUAGCUGAAGUAGGGCGACUCGAAAGUCCAAAGUUAGCUGGCAAAUAUGAUACAGGACAACUAAUUCUGCAUAAAGUCUUUGGAUAUAGAGGUGUCAUUUUAUUUCCAUGGCUAGCUAGAGUAUAUGAUAGAGACUUACCUCAGCAUAGAGAGGGAGAUGAAGAACCAGGAUCAGGAGUUGGCAAAGAAGUUAGAGGGAGAACACAUACUUUCUACCAAGUUCUUAUUGAUCAGCGUGAUUGCCCAUAUAUAAGAGCUCAAACGGAAGCAGUCACAUUUCUUGGCAACCAAGAUUCGUCCAGAAGCCUCUAUGCCAUACCGGGAUUAGAUUAUGUUGCUCAUGAAGAUAUAAUUCCUUAUGCAAGCGCUGAAAAAAUCCCUUUAAACCACGAGUUGUUCGAUAAGUUUUUAGCGCCAAAUCCCAAUAGAGAUCCACCAUUCGUGGCUCAAGAAACGUUGAAAGCAUGGCAGAAUAAAAACCAUCCAUGGUUAGAAUUGUCUGACGUACAUAAAGAAACUACCGAGAAUAUUAGGGUUACUGUUAUCCCGUUUUAUAUGGGAUGUAGAGAGAGUCAUGCCAAUUCUGUUUAUUGGUGGCGAUACUGUAUAAGACUAGAAAAUUUAGGAAAUCUCAGUGUGCAACUUAGGGAAAGACAUUGGAGAAUAUUUUCUCUGUCAGGUACUUUGGAAACAGUUAGAGGACGUGGGGUAGUCGGUCAAGAACCCGCUUUGACAAAAACGUUGCCGGCUUUUCAAUAUAGCAGCCACGUCAGUUUGCAAGCCCCAAGCGGUCACAUGUGGGGUACGUUUAGAAUGGAACGCGAAGAUGGUUAUACAUUCGACUGCAGAAUCCCUCCAUUUUCCCUGGAAAGCAAGCCCGAAGCGACGUCCAGCGUUCGCGGCCCGCCGCGACGUUCAGCAGUAACGACUGGUCGCGGCGAUUUUGGGAUUUGCUUGAAGCGUCCGCGUUUCUGUAGUAGUGAGAGCACACCCGCCAUAAUACAAGUGAAUUGUAUGAAUCCCGAAACGAAGAAGGUUAUUACAAGAUCCUUAUACAAAAUCACCUAAAUGACGACGAUGAAAAGUUUCGCAGCUUCUUCAGGCUUAAUAAGGAUCAAUUUAAUUUUCUGUUAGGCCUAGUUCAAAAUGAAUUAAAGAAGAAACCCACAAACAGAGUAAAAACUCCUAUUUCCCCAGAAGAAAAAUUGGCUCUGACACUAAGAUUCUUGGCUACUGGAGAGUCAUUUAGAACCCUGUCAUUUGCCUUCCGCAUUUCAUUCAGCUACAUCUCAGUUAUUAUUAGAGAAACACUGGAAGUUUUAUGUUCAACAUCGGUACCGAUUUUGUUGCGACCAUGUAGUAGUGAACACUUAAAGGAAAAAGCGUUGAAUUUAGGAAAAAAUGGCAUUUCCCCAACUGUGUUGCAGGAAUCGAUGGAAAACACAUUCGAAUUUUCCGCCCCAACAAUAGUGGCUCCCUAUUUUACAAUUACAAAGAUAAUUUUUCAAUAGUUCUGUUAGCAAUGGUCCAUGCAAACUGCAAAUUUCUGUUUGUUGAUGUUGGUGCUUACGGUAAAGAGGGAGACAGUUCCAUUUUUUCUAAUUCACCGAUGGGCAAUCAGGUGUAUUCAGGAAAUUUAUUUCCAAAUGAUGAAUUUCUACCUAAUACAAACAGGAAGCUAGCUUAUGUAGUAAUCGCCUAAUCGGAGAUGAAGCGUUUAGGUUACAUCGACAUUUAAUGAAACCAUACAGCAAGUUAUAGGCUAGAGGCGAUAAAAGAAAAACUAUUUACAACUACCGACUGUGUAGGGCCAGACGUAUCACUGAAAAUGCAUUUUGGUCUGUGCCAAGUCUUUCGCAUCUAUUAUACACCAAUAGCUGUUAAAGCAGAAGUAUGCGAUAAGUUGAUUAUGAUGACUUGUCUUCAUAAUCUAUUAAAAGAUGGAUUUUUGGAAAAAAACAAUAAAUCUUAUUACGGAUAUGAUUCAAAUAUUCCAUUGCCAAAGAACAUUACUCCAUUAACAGGAGGUGGAGGAUUUGCUAAUGCAACUGGUUUGGAAAUCAGAGAAAUGUUCGCAAAUUUCUUUAGCGAAGAAGGAGCAACAGAGUGGCAAAACGACAGAGUCUUGUGUCCAUAUUUUUGUAUUUUAAUCUUACACACAAUUUGAUAAUUAUUGAGCCAAUGUUUUGAAAAAUAUACAUACAUAUAAUAAAAGAUGUUUAUAGAUAAAAACAGUUUUGUGUUUUACUGUCAAUACUAACAAUUAUAUAGUGUCCACCAUAAUGUUCGCUACAUAUGGGAAAUUCGAGCAUUUGAUCAAGCAUAAUACAUUUUCCCAUAUCCUACAAGUAAAAAAAUGCCCAUAUGUAGCGAACAUUAUGGUGAACACUGUAUAAAAUACCAAUUGAAACAUUGGGAAAAAUUAAUCGACCUACUUGACCUAAUGCAACCCUACUAUUCACAAAACUUGAUUCAUCUAUAUGGAGCGGAAAACAAUGAAUUUAUUCUUAAAUACUUACGAUUCUUGGAUAAAGCUGCAGCAAUUUCUUUCCAUACAUUUUCCCAAAUUGGCUAAUCUUUAAAGUCUUUAUUUUCAUGGUUAUAAAUACAAGGAUAUUCACGUACUUGAUAAAACAAUAUUUCAUCUUCAGCAUCUGUGAAUUUUUUCGACAUUUUGUGUUAAUAUCUUCAGCUAAACUCUGCUUAUAUCAAACUGAUGUAUAGACGGCUAGGGUCUACGUUCGCAUACAAACUACAUUGUACGUGUUAUUAACUGCCAGACGUGGUGGCAAACCGCGAACGCUGGACGUCGCUAGGAAAUCACACCUUUAGCGGUUAAGCUGUCGUUAUUUUGUAAUGUUAUAAUGUAUGAAUGUAUUAUCUGCUGAAUAUAUUUAUUAUUAUUAUAUUAUCAUGAA
Molecule: unclassified non-coding RNA, 3227 nt
Filed under: Anthonomus grandis grandis
Lineage: Eukaryota; Metazoa; Arthropoda; Insecta; Coleoptera; Curculionidae
Description: polymerase delta-interacting protein 2
Source: RNAcentral